UUCAGAAUCCGGUUGAUCCUGCCGGACCUGACUGCUAUCGGAUUGAUACUAAGCCAUGUUAGUCUUUGUAGUAAUACAAGGCAUACGGCUCAGUAACACGUAGUCAACCUAACUUAUGGACGGGGAUAACUUCGGGAAACUGAUGAUAAUACCCGAUAGGUCAUUAUGCCUGGAAUGGUUUAUGGCUUAAAUGAAUUUCGCCAUAGGAUGGGACUGCGGCCUAUCAGCUUGUUGGUGAGGUAAUGGCCCACCAAGGCUAUAACAGGUACGGGCUCUGAGAGGAGUAGCCCGGAGAUGGGUACUGAGACAAGGACCCAGGUCCUAUGGGACGCAGCAGGCGAGAAAACUUUGCAAUGUGCGAAAGCACGACAAGGUUAAUCCGAGUGUUUCCUGCUAAAGGAAUCUUUUGUUAGUCGUAGAACCACUAAUGAAUAAGGGGUGGGCAAGUUCUGGUGUCAGCCGCCGCGGUAAAACCAGCACCUCAAGUGGUCAGGAGGAUUAUUGGGCCUAAAGCAUCCGUAGCCUGUUUUGUAAGUCUUCGGUUAAAUCCACAUGCUCAACAUGUGGGCUGCCGAAAAUACUGCACAACUAGGGAGUGGGAGAGGUAGACGGUACUCGGUAGGAAGGGGUAAAAUCCUUUGAUCUAUCGAUGACCACCUGUGGC
Molecule: ribosomal RNA, 664 nt
Filed under: Planctomycetota bacterium
Lineage: Bacteria; Pseudomonadati; Planctomycetota
Description: bacterial SSU rRNA
Rfam family: Archaeal small subunit ribosomal RNA
Source: RNAcentral